Molecule: ribosomal RNA, 1274 nt
Filed under: metagenome
Description: bacterial SSU rRNA
Rfam family: Bacterial small subunit ribosomal RNA
Source: RNAcentral
GGCCUUGCGCUCUUUGAGCGGCCGAUGUCAGAUUAGCUAGUUGGUGAGGUAAAGGCUUACCAAGGCGACGAUCUGUAGCGGGUCUGAGAGGAUGAUCCGCCACACUGGAACUGAGACACGGUCCAGACUCCUACGGGAGGCAGCAGUGGGGAAUUUUGGACAAUGGGGGCAACCCUGAUCCAGCCAUGCCGCGUGAGUGAAGAAGGCCUUCGGGUUGUAAAGCUCUUUCGGCCGGGAAGAAAUCGCAUGGGCCAAUACCCUGUGUGGAUGACGGUACCGGAAUAAGAAGCACCGGCUAACUACGUGCCAGCAGCCGCGGUAAUACGUAGGGUGCGAGCGUUAAUCGGAAUUACUGGGCGUAAAGCGUGCGCAGGCGGUUUUGUAAGACAGGCGUGAAAUCCCCGGGCUUAACCUGGGAACUGCGUUUGUGACUGCAAGGCUAGAGUACGGCAGAGGGGGGUGGAAUUCCACGUGUAGCAGUGAAAUGCGUAGAGAUGUGGAGGAACACCAAUGGCGAAGGCAGCCCCCUGGGUCGAUACUGACGCUCAUGCACGAAAGCGUGGGUAGCAAACAGGAUUAGAUACCCUGGUAGUCCACGCCCUAAACUAUGUCAACUAGGUGUUGGGUGGGUAAAACCAUUUAGUACCGUAGCUAACGCGUGAAGUUGACCGCCUGGGGAGUACGGCCGCAAGGUUAAAACUCAAAGGAAUUGACGGGGACCCGCACAAGCGGUGGAUGAUGUGGAUUAAUUCGAUGCAACGCGAAAAACCUUACCUACCCUUGACAUGCCAGGAACUUGCCAGAGAUGGCUUGGUGCCCGAAAGGGAGCCUGGACACAGGUGCUGCAUGGCUGUCGUCAGCUCGUGUCGUGAGAUGUUGGGUUAAGUCCCGCAACGAGCGCAACCCUUGUCGUUAAUUGCCAUCAUUUAGUUGGGCACUUUAACGAGACUGCCGGUGACAAACCGGAGGAAGGUGGGGAUGACGUCAAGUCCUCAUGGCCCUUAUGGGUAGGGCUUCACACGUCAUACAAUGGUCGGUACAAAGGGUUGCCAAGCCGCGAGGCGGAGCCAAUCCCAGAAAGCCGAUCGUAGUCCGGAUUGCAGGCUGCAACUCGCCUGCAUGAAGUCGGAAUCGCUAGUAAUCGUGGAUCAGCAUGUCACGGUGAAUACGUUCCCGGGUCUUGUACACACCGCCCGUCACACCAUGGGAGCGGGUUCCGCCAGAAGUAGGUAGCCUAACCGCAAGGGGGGCGCUUACCACGGCGGGGUUCGUGU